AAUCAUAUUAAAUUAUUCUACUA
Molecule: small nuclear RNA, 23 nt
Filed under: Arabidopsis thaliana (thale cress)
Lineage: Eukaryota; Viridiplantae; Streptophyta; Magnoliopsida; Brassicales; Brassicaceae
Description: snRNA_08263
Source: RNAcentral